UAUAAAGUCCGACUGCUAUGCUAUCGAUAGCACCAAGCACUUGGUGCUAUCAAGUUUUCUGCCGUUAGAUUAACCCCUUUGAUUAUUUUUAUCCGUUAGAUUAUACUAUUCAACCAACCACUCACUCAAUCCUAGAGGGCCCAUAUCAUUCUAACCACAUAUUUUUCAAUCCAAGGGCUAAAAAACUAAUAGCACCAAUAGCUUGGUGCUAUUGAUAGUAUUCCAGCCUAAUUAUAUAUAUAUAUAUAGAGAGAGAGAGAGAGAGAGAGAGAGAGAGAGAGAGAGAAUACUAUCGGUAGCAAACGGGCUCCGUUGCUGCCCAUUUGUUUUCGAUGAUAGAGCCUCCAAAUCGAUGAUUGGCACCAUUGAACAUGAUCUAUACCGCUUGAAGUAUCUAGAAAUCAAAUUUCAUGCUUUUUCGAUAUUAUUCUCUUAUCCAUCAUGUCACGCCCCAGAUCCGACUGCUCGGAUCUGAACCGCAACAACCGGCCACGAAUUCAGAGGAAGAACCUCCGAAAACGGAAGGCCUUAAAUUGAUCCAAAGCCACCAUCUCAGUUAAAAACUAAAUAAUUUAUUAAUUAAAACGAAAUUAAACAAUAACUUCUAAAUGUCCAUAUAAUCAAUCUCAUGUCAAAAUAAAUCAUAUGUCCAAAAUUUAAAAUCUAUGUAACAAGUUCUCGCCGGCCAAUUAUCUCACACACCCCGACUCUCGGUACCUGAAACAGUAGACAACAAAAGUAAGCGCAAUGCUUAACAAGAAAUUUACUUCAAGAAUAACGAUAAUUUAAAUUUGAAACUACAAAUGUCAUAAUUUAGAGCAUCUCCACUCCGUCGCUCUAACCGCGAGAGCUACAAUUACGCGUUGUUUCUCCUCGGAAACCGCGUAUCGGAUAAAUCCCUCUCUUCCGAGGAAUCCGACCGCAACAGUCAUAUCCAAUAAUAGAACAUGAGAAUAAUAAUGUGCAAAAUAAAUAAACCAUAUCUGUUAAUAAUAAUUAUAAAAUCCACUCGGAUGUAUCAACAAUUAGUAAACAGAACAGAUAAUAAUUAUGUCCCGAACCCACUCGGAUCCGCAUAUUUUCUACCGUUUGCAGAAAGUAGCUAUUUACUUGCCUCUAUUAGUGCUCACAAAUUCGUCACGUUCUAAGAUUGAGGUUUUACGGCUGUCUCAGCACCUACAACGACGAAAAGACCCAAAUAAAAUAUAUUUUCAAACAAGUCCUUUAACUAUUAAAAAUUCUGCGAAAAUUAUACAUUAAAUCAGGAUAAUUAGACCACACGAUCUUAUCCGUAUUUUCAAGACGAGUCCUAUAGCGCUUGAAUCGCAAAAUUUCGCCUUACGGACAAUCUUUUACGGAUCAGUCCCCAAAACCAAAACUGCUAUUUACAGAUUGGUCCCUGGCUGAUCUUUUAAGCCAUUAUAAGCACCAAAAUUUCACUACACCCGAUCCAGCAUCAGCAACGUGCACCAGAAGCUUUUCCAAUUAAAUAUAAUUCAACCGAUAGAGGCAAAACACUCUAAUUAACAACUUAAUUACGUCUAAUAUCGUUACGAUAAAUUGAAACUUAAAUAUAAAAAUAAAUCAUGCAAAAAUUAACGUGGUCCACCGUGAACGGGGUCUAACCAGAUCCAAAAUAAUUUCAUCUCCUCUCUUUUUCUUCCCAACUCAAACAAAGAAGCUCUCUCAUACUCCUCUUAUGGCCAACCAUGGUUACCCCAUAGGGGGUUCACCCCAACUCGUCCAUAGGUGGCCGGCGACCACUCCGGCGACGGCGGCGGCGGUACAAUGAGGAGAGAGGAUAAGAUUGGGAGAUAAAAGAAGAAAGAAAAGAGAGAAAAAAAUGAGAAAACUAAUUAUUGGAGACUCACCUCGCUCUCGUUCUUUUUCCUCUCCCCCACGAUUGUCGGAUCUUGCUCCCGCCGGCGGCCACGCUUGCACAAAGAAUCCGGCAACAAUAUUUAUCAUUAUAAUAUUUUUGGCCGUACACCUUUCCUAAAUUACCUAUUUAUAGGUGAUUAAUUAGGGCUAAAUCUCAACCCUACUCUAACUAGUAUUAGAGUAUAAUUAAUCCGAAAAUCAAAUCCAACCGAAUCCGCUUAAUCCGACGGUACAAAUAAAUCAAAAAUAUUUAAUAACGGGUUUAUCACAAAACUACAAUCAUUGCCACAUAUUUAAAUUCUAAUUUAAAUUAAUUAGAUACGGGUAUUACACAUCAAGUGGGCGUAAAAAUGAACGGUUGAAAAUAAAUAUCCUCUAAAAAGUAAUGAUGAGAAUUUUGUAAUCAAGAUCGAGAGUAUAGAUCUUAUUCUAAAUAGUUUAAAGAAUUUUCUAACCAAAGUUCAAUUGAUUUGGAUAGCUUUAUACCGUUAAACGAGAAAACGCCUCAUAUCCACCAUUAAAACUACAAAUUUUGAAACUCUUUGAUCAUUAGGUCAAUGAUGUCGAAAAGACUUGAAAUUUGGUUUCUAGAUACUUCAAGUGGUAUAGAUCAUGUUCAACAGUGACGAUCGUCAAUUUAAAGGCUUUAUCAUAAAAAACAAAUGGAUGGCAACGAAGCCAGUUUGUUACCGAUAGCAUUCUAGCUCAACUCUCUCUCUCUCUCUCUCUCUCUCUCUCUCUAUAUAUAUAUAUAUAUAUAUAUAUAUAUGUAUAUAUAUUUCGAACUUUUCGAGCUUAAUUCGAGCGAGCCCGGUAAUACUCAAGAUCGGCUUGAAAUUAAUUUCGAGCUUAAAUUUAGGCUCAAGCUCGGCUUAAAAUUAAUUCGAGCCGAGAUCGAGGGAGUCGAAUAUCGAGCCGAACGCGAGUCGAAAAUUUACCAGCCCUAGGUCCCACUAGUGGUGAGUUUUUGACCAGUCAAUGAGUGGUCAAUGCAUAGGGAAGCGUGAUCUACGUUGUCAAAUCAAAUUGAAAUUGAAACUCCAAAUAUUGAAUAAAACAUUAAAUAAUUUGAGUAAGAAAUGGGGCAAACUUCAAAUACUAUCAUGUAGUUUCGCACUUUCUCAUUUUAGUAUUCUAUGGUUUAAAAUAUAUUAAUUUAGUAUCAUGUGGUCAUUUUUUUUCUUUUCGUCGUUAACAUUUCGUUAAAUUAUAUAUAAAAAAUUUUAUAUACCCUACCUAAGUUUAUCGAAUAUCCACUUUAAUACCUUUUAGUUUUAAAUUUGCCACUAAUUUAACGAAAAAAAUUAAUGGAAGGGUUUCGUUAAUGGAAGGGCCGACAAAGAGAGAAAAAUGAAAUUACAGGACACUAAAUUGAUAAACUUUAAACUAUAGGGUACUAAAGCGAGAAGUGCGAAAACCAGGGGUGAUAUUUGAAGUUUAGCAAAAAAAAAAAAAAGAAAAAACUUCAAAUACCACCCUUAUGGUUUNAUUAUUUUGGUUUUAAAAAAAUAAAGUUAAUUUCAAACAAGUCCUUACAAAUAUAGUGAAUGAUAAAUAUAUUCCUAAAAUGUUUAACUUUUAUAUAUUGUUCCUCCAAAAAUUCAGAUAUUUUUAAAUAUAUCUCUAUCAUUAGAAUUCGUUAAAAAAAUUUAGUUAACCAUAUGUUAAAUACUUUAACUCUUAGUUUUUUGACAUUUUUACCUUUCUUAUAUUAUACUGUUAUGGCUUUGGAAGGGGUAUAGUUGUAAUGAAAAAUUAAAAAUAUAAACAGUUUUCUAACAGUAACAAACCGGAAGGGACAUAUUUGAAAAGAUCAGUAUUUUUACAAGAACAAUAUAUGAAAAUUAAAUUUUAUAAAAAUAUAUUUGUUAUUCACUAUAUUUAUAAAAGUUUGUAUAAAAUUAAUCUAAAAAAAUAACACUCCCUAACCUUUAACUUAUUUGAAAUUGAGUCCUUUUUUUUUUUAAUUAGAUUUACACUUGUGUUACUUAUUAACUCUUAGAAUUAACUUCUUUUAUUAUCAAUUUUAGAGUUUUUGUCAGAAUCAAGCGCAGCCUACUAUAAUGAAUGUUAUUUUUUUAGAUUAAUUUUAUACAAACUUUUAUAAAUAUAGUGAAUAACAAAUAUAUUUUUAUAAAAUUUAAUUUUCAUAUAUUGUUCUUGUAAAAAUACUGAUCUUUUCAAAUAUGUCCCUUCCGGUUUGUUACUGUUAGAAAACUGUUUAUAUUUUUAAUUUUUCAUUACAACUAUACCCCUUCCAAAGCCAUAACAGUAUAAUAUAAGAAAGGUAAAAAUGUCAAAAAACUAAGAGUUAAAGUAUUUAACAUAUGGUUAACUAAAUUUUUUUAACGAAUUCUAAUGAUAGAGAUAUAUUUAAAAAUAUCUGAAUUUUUGGAGGAACAAUAUAUAAAAGUUAAACAUUUUAGGAAUAUAUUUAUCAUUCACUAUAUUUGUAAGGACUUGUUUGAAAUUAACUUUAUUUUUUUAAAACCAAAAUAAUAUCUGAUCACGUACAUCUCUUGUAGAUAUUUAAUUUUAACAGAAUUUUUAAAAUUAUUGAUAAAAGGCGCUAAAUCAAACGGUUAGUAAAUAGUAGGAUUAUAAAGUAAGAGCUUAAUUACACUCUAAUAAACUGUACUUUAGUAUUAUUAUUAUAUUUUAUCAAUCGCUAUAUUGUCUUUUUAGAUUUAUUUUAAUUUUUCUAUCCCGCACUUAUUCUUUUAUAGAUAUCACUAGAUUAAUUUUUUUCUCGCCAAUUUUUAUAAUAUUGCGAACAAAUCUAUUAUUUUUUCAAAAUUUAACCAUUUUAUUAAGAGAUACUGAUUAAAUAGUAAAAAAAUAUAAAAUAAAUCUCCAUGAUACGUUCAUUAAAAGUUUCUAUCAAAUUAUUUUUAAUUACUUUUAUAUAAAAUU
This 4794-nucleotide long non-coding RNA is filed under the name Ananas comosus (pineapple). RNAcentral's name for it is "long non-coding RNA (ACOM_LNC026457)". Lineage: Eukaryota; Viridiplantae; Streptophyta; Magnoliopsida; Poales; Bromeliaceae. The record is from RNAcentral.